This is a long non-coding RNA of Lathyrus oleraceus (garden pea), 2116 nucleotides long. RefSeq lists it as uncharacterized. NCBI's taxonomy places the organism in Eukaryota, Viridiplantae, Streptophyta, Magnoliopsida, Fabales, Fabaceae. The transcript has 2 exons. The record is from RefSeq and is a predicted model, not a curated record.
AUUCCCACGUAUCAUUAACUUCCUUAAUUAAAUAUUAAUGGUAGCCUUUUUUAAAUAGAAAGAAACGUUGGUGUUAAAGAAACAAAAGUAUUAUAACUUUACUCAUAUAAAUCAAUACCAUUAAAACAAAAUAACCCAAAGUUACUGUAACACACCGAUCAAAAUCACUUCCUCUCUCCAAAACUAUCAACAAAACCUUUCAUAGAAACCAACCCAGAACGUCUAAUAUUCAAGAUCCAAGGAUAAACAUCUCAUGGUGUUCAUCGCGAGAAACCACACAGAUUCGUUCUAACCAUUCCAAAUCAACAAACAAACAAGUCUAAACGAACAAACUGAAACUAGCUCUAUCAUCAAAGAAUUUUAGAAGAAAAAAACACAGCAUAAUUCCUUACAGAUAUAAGAACCCUAGCUCAUGAAUCAAAAGCGCAACACCAGCAAUCAGCAGAUUAUAGCAGAUAUACAACCGAUACAUGAAUUUCUAGCAUAAAAGAAUCGACGAAAAAAAUCUAAGACGAGAGGGAAAAGAUCUCGCCGGAGCCUCAUGAAUCCGAUGGAAUUCCGGCGAUCAUGCUUACCUCAAGUGUUUAUCCUUGUUUUCUCUGUAUGUUUGUAUCCUUAGAAUAAUGAGGUUUCGCUGCUUAACUCUAAGCUUUGGUGUAUUCUGUGGCGAUGUCCCUGCAAGGUAACAGUAUGCUUUUUUCUCUUUCAAAUUCUUUUUCUGCGUUCGAUUUGUUCGCGAUUUAGCUUGGUUAGCUCAAGCUUCAACCAAGGAGCUCUGAAUUGCCAUUUGUAUUUUCGAGUUGUGGUAGGGUUUGCAGAAGAAUUUUUGCAGGGUAACGAUGCCUCUUCCGCCUCCUUUCUCAAUGAUUGAAGCACUCUUUAUACAGAAGAAAUGCAAGGUCUCAAAUCAUGUGCCAAUUAUGAGCUGGCGGAGGAUCCCAAGAAUCAUUCUGUUAGAAUAUCUCAGAUUUGGUGGGGACCGAUCCUAAAUCUCCAAUUUGCUGAAAGCUAUUUCGUUUUGUCUGUAGUGAUGUGUGUCGAUCUGUUUUAACACUUUUGGUGGUCCCAUCCAUUUCGGUAUUACCUCAUCCUUGGAAUUCAAAAUUUGUAUGUGAAUGGAAUCGUUUAAAUGUUAAAGUCUUGUUUCAUUGUUUUAGCUUUCCCCUGCAUAGCUGUGUUCUCUGUGUGUGAACUACUAUGAUAUAUUUCUGCUCAUAAAUUAGUUGUGGACUCGUUUGACAGUACCGGGUUAAUAGAGCAAUUCAUAUCUACAAGUGUUCCAAACGGUCCAGGUUUUGAAUUCUCUAAAUAUUUUCCAUUAUGAGUAUGUAGUUCUGUCAAAAAUGAUAUGCCUGCCUGACUAAUAUAUGCUGCAGAUCACCAUUGAGUAUGCAUUUAACGCUUGGUUAUCUUUGGUAGCAGGGCUGUUGUUUCAAAAAUGACACACCAUUGCUUUUGAGCUGAUACGCAGAUGCGGACUUUGUUGCUAUCGCAAGGCACAUAGGCUUGGUUUGGUGGCAAACUUCAAAAGGAUUGGCAAUGUUGCCGGUAUCUUAGCCAUAAAGCUUGAACCACGUAUCCUGUUGGGUUGGACAAGCGAAUUCAUUCCAUGUUGGCGGUUUGGUAACAGGUUUUUGAAGCAUACCCUGGCAAUCGUUUUGGUUUGGAGCAUUAUGGUAUUUAAACUGAUCCCAUCUUUAAUUGAUGAUUCAUAAUGCAAUGGUCUUGCCGCUGUAGCUUUAUCUUGGUGACCCAAAAGCUGUUAAAGUUUCUGCAACCGACCAAAUGCCUAUCCUGUUAUCGGCAUCAGCAUUAUUUAUGGAACUGAAUCAUCCAUCUUGGAGUUGUUACCCAUCGUGUCAUUCAAAGGACCAUCAUGUUGCAAAGGUCUGCAACAUGGCCUGCUGUGGGAGAAAUACUCUGAACUUGUGUCUGCAGCUGUUUUUUGGUGUGACGGCAAGUCGUUGCUGUUUUUCCAUUUUGCAGCUUGUGGCAUUUAUUUUCAAAUUGAUUUGCUUACUCUCUUUUUCAUGUAAAGUUGUUAUCUUAAGUAGGUAAACUGAAUAACGGUUUGAGUUGUUCGUUGGAUUGUCUUGUUUGCAAAUAAAACCUUGUU